AUCUGNAUCGUCGCAAGACGGACUAAAGCGAAAGCAUUUGCCAAAGGUGUUUUCAUUAAUCAAGAACGAAAGUUAGAGGUUCGAAGGCGAUUAGAUACCGCUGUAGUUCUAACCAUAAAUGAUGCCAGCCNGCGAUCCGCCGAAGUUUCAUAAAUUUAACCCGGUGGGCAGCUCCCGGGAAACCAAAGCUUUCGGGCUCCGGGGGGAGUAUGGUUGCAAAGCUGAAACUUAAAGGAAUUGACGGAAGGGCACCACCAGGAGUGGAGCCUGCGGCUUAAUUCGACUCAACACGGGAAAACUCACCAGGCCCGGACACUGGAAGGAUUGACGGAUUAACAGCUCUUUCUCGAUUCGGUGGGUGGUGGUGCAUGGCCGCUCUUAGUUGGUGGAGCGAUUUGUCAGGUUAAUUCCGGUAACGAACGUAACUCACCGGCGGUAUAUAUAGCCGCACGAGAUUGAGCAAUAGCAGGUCUGUGAUGCCCUUAGAUGUCCUGGGCCGCACGCGCGCUACACUGAAGGGAUCAGCGUGUCCUCCUUGGCCUAACGGCCCGGGUAACCCGAUGAAACCCCUUCGUGAUAGGGAUUGGGGUUUGCAAUUCUCCCCCAUGAACGAGGAAUUCCUAGUAAAAGCGGGUCACCAGCUCGCGUUGAUUGCGUCCCUGCCCUUUGUACACACCGCCCGUCGCUACUACCGAUGGAUGAUUUGGUGAGGUCUUCGGAUUGGCGCGGCGAAGUUCGUUACGGACAUCCGACGCGUCGGANGUUUGACCGAAUUUGAUCAUUUAGAGGAGUAAAGUCGUAC
This 802-nucleotide ribosomal RNA is filed under the name Beraeoptera roria. RNAcentral describes it as "SSU rRNA". It matches the Rfam family "Eukaryotic small subunit ribosomal RNA", at positions 918 to 1794 of the family's 1831-position model. Lineage: Eukaryota; Metazoa; Arthropoda; Insecta; Trichoptera; Conoesucidae. The record is from RNAcentral.